GAACUAAGUGUGGUAAAAAAAGUAAAAUACCUAGGGGUUCACUUGUCAGCGAAAAAUUUGAAUCUAUUUAAAGACAACUAUGAAAAAUGUUGGCUGGAAAUCAAAAAAGAUUUGGAAAUCUGGUCAAGAUUGAAACUUUCCUUGUUGGGUCGAAUUGCAGCUAUAAAAAUGAAUGUAUUGCCGAAAAUGUUAUUUUUGUUUCAAACCCUACAGAUUGUGGACAGAGUGGAAUGUUUUGGAAAGUGGCAGAAGGAUAUAUCUAAGUUUGUUUGGCAGGGCAAAAGCCCCGGAUAAAGUUUAAAAUACUAACUGAUUUGAAAGAAAGAGGGGGGUUUGCCCUGCCGGACUUGAGAAUAUAUUAUGAAGCUGCGGCCUUCUGCUGGAUGAAAGAUUGGUUACUUCUUGAGAACACUGAUGUUCUAGAUCUGGAAGGGUUUGAUAAUGCUUUUGGCUGGCAUGCAUAUUUGUGGUACGACAAGGUAAAGGUUCAUAAAAUGUUCAAAAAUCAUAUUGUUAGAAAAUCAAUAUUUAUGGUCUGGACAAAAUACAAGGACUUAUUAGAGGGUAAGACUCCGAGGUGGCUUUCACCAGCAGAGGCCAAGGCCCGGAAAAAACCUAAUAUGGAGGUUGGUUGGCUGAAAUAUGGGGAAAUUAUAGAAAAAGUAGGAGAAACUUGGAGGCUGCAGAGUUAUGAAAAAUUAAAGAAUAAGGUGCAAAAUUGGCUUCACUAUGCUCAAAUUCAAGAGGUUUUCAAGUUGGACAAAAGAAUAGGUUUCCAGGUGGAAAAAUCGAAACUAGAGACAGAAUUGUUGGAACCAAAGACCAAGGUACUUUCGAGAAUGUAUAUCUUGCUGCUUAAAUGGAACACUCAGGAUGAGACAGUCAAAUCAGCCAUGAUAAAAUGGGCUCAGGACAUUGGGUACAACAUUAUGUUUGAAGACUGGGAAAGGUUAUGGACCACUGGUAUGAAAUUCACGGCAUGUAAUGCCUUGAAAGAGAAUAUUAUGAAAAUGAUAUACAGGUGGUACAUGACCCCAGUCAAGCUAGCUAAGAUAUAUCAUUUGUCUGAUAAUAAAUGUUGGAAAUGUAAGGAGGCUGAAGGGACAUUCUUUCACCUCUGGUGGACUUGCCCAAAAGUGAAGGCCUUCUGGGAAAUGAUCUAUAAUGAGUUAAAAAAGUGUUUAAGUACACUUUUCCCAAGAAACCAGAGGCCUUCCUACUGGGCAUUGUCGGUCAGAAGGUGUUAAAGAAGGAUAGAACCUUUUUAUGUAUGCAACUACAGCAGCAAGAAUUCUUAUCGCAAAACACUGGAAGACUCAAGAUUUACCCACACUGGAAGAGUGGCAGACGCAAUUGAUGGGCUACAUGGAAUUGGCUGAGAUGACUGCCAGGAUCCGAGAUUUGGAGGAAGAAGCAAUGGAGGAGGAUUGGAAAAAAUUUAAAGAUUAUUUACAAAAAUUUUAUAAGUUAUAUGAAUGUUAAGAUUUCGCAUGAUUAGGGAAAUUCAGCUCCAGCAAUAAGAUUAAGGUAUGGGAAACUAAGCUAUUUUAAUGAAAAGACUAACGUUUAAAAGAACAUUAUAUAUAUUAUUAGUGCAAAUUGACAAUAAGCAUUUUAAACGUAAAUCACAAGUAUUUGAAAGAACAAAAGAAUGCACGAAAUAAGGUUAUAAUUUGCUGAAAAAUUUUAUUGUAAAGAACGCAAGGUGAGGGGGACGGGGGGAAGUCCGGUUGGUUAUGGAAAAAUGCUUUGAAAAGAUGAUUUUCUUCUUUUUCUUUCUUUUUUCUGUUAUUUCUUUGUAUAUCUGACCUUGUAUUUCUAUCUGGAAAAAUGC
Non-coding RNA from Podarcis lilfordi (Lilford's wall lizard), 1834 nucleotides. Lineage: Eukaryota; Metazoa; Chordata; Lepidosauria; Squamata; Lacertidae. The record is from the annotation of a GenBank genome assembly.